GACGAACGCUGGCGGCGUGCUUAACACAUGCAAGUCGAACGGUGAACCUCUUCGGAGGGGAUCAGUGGCGAACGGGUGAGUAACACGUGGGCAACCUGCCCCCGGCUCUGGGAUAACUCCAAGAAAUUGGGGCUAAUACCGGAUGUUCACCGCUUCCCGCAUGGGUGGUGGUGGAAAGGGUUUCCGGCUGGGGAUGGGCCCGCGGCCUAUCAGCUUGUUGGUGGGGUAGUGGCCUACCAAGGCGACGACGGGUAGCCGGCCUGAGAGGGUGACCGGCCACACUGGGACUGAGACACGGCCCAGACUCCUACGGGAGGCAGCAGUGGGGAAUAUUGCGCAAUGGGCGGAAGCCUGACGCAGCGACGCCGCGUGGGGGAUGACGGCCAUCGGGUUGUAAACCUCUUUCAGCGGGGACGAAGCGCAAGUGACGGUACCUGCAGAAGAAGCACCGGCCAACUACGUG
This 463-nucleotide ribosomal RNA is filed under the name uncultured bacterium. RNAcentral describes it as "partial 16S ribosomal RNA". It matches the Rfam family "Bacterial small subunit ribosomal RNA", at positions 28 to 507 of the family's 1533-position model. The record is from RNAcentral.